GCUAAGAAUAUUCCGCAAUGGACGAAAGUCUGACGGAGCGACGCCGCGUGGAUGAGGAAGGCCGAAAGGUUGUAAAGUCCUUUUGUCGAUGAAGAAUAAGUGGUGGAGGGAAUGCCAUCAUGAUGACGUUAGUCGGCGAAUAAGCCCCGGCUAAUUACGUGCCAGCAGCCGCGGUAACACGUAAGGGGCAAGCGUUGUUCGGAAUUAUUGGGCGUAAAGGGUACGUAGGCGGUUAUGUAAGCCCGGCGUGAAAUCCUGCAGCUUAACUGUAGAGCUGCGCUGGGAACUGCGUAACUUGAGUCAUGGAAGGGAAGUUAGAAUUCCAGGUGUAGGGGUGAAAUCUGUAGAUAUCUGGAAGAAUACCGGUAGCGAAGGCGAACUUCUGGCCAAUGACUGACGCUGAGGUACGAAAGUGCGGGGAGCAAACAGGAUUAGAAACCCUGGUAGUCC
This 450-nucleotide ribosomal RNA is filed under the name uncultured bacterium. RNAcentral's name for it is "partial 16S ribosomal RNA". It matches the Rfam family "Bacterial small subunit ribosomal RNA", at positions 354 to 796 of the family's 1533-position model. The record is from RNAcentral.